This 166-nucleotide ribosomal RNA is filed under the name uncultured Bifidobacterium sp. RNAcentral describes it as "partial 16S ribosomal RNA". It matches the Rfam family "Bacterial small subunit ribosomal RNA", at positions 355 to 534 of the family's 1533-position model. The record is from RNAcentral. Lineage: Bacteria; Bacillati; Actinomycetota; Actinomycetes; Bifidobacteriales; Bifidobacteriaceae.
UGGGGAAUAUUGCACAAUGGGCGCAAGCCUGAUGCAGCGACGCCGCGUGAGGGAUGGAGGCCUUCGGGUUGUAAACCUCUUUUAUCGGGGAGCAAGCGAGAGUGAGUUUACCCGUUGAAUAAGCACCGGCUAACUACGUGCCAGCAGCCGCGGUAAUUCGUAGGUG